Molecule: ribosomal RNA, 225 nt
Filed under: uncultured bacterium
Lineage: Bacteria
Description: partial 16S ribosomal RNA
Rfam family: Bacterial small subunit ribosomal RNA
Source: RNAcentral
GCGAAUCUCGAAAGCCUGUCUCAGUUCGGAUUGGAGGCUGAAACCCGCCUCCAUGAAGCUGGAUUCGCUAGUAAUCGCGCAUCAGCCACGGCGCGGUGAAUACGUUCCCGGGCCUUGUACACACCGCCCGUCAAGCCAUGGAAGCCGGGAGUGCCUGAAGUGCGUGACCGCAAGGAGCGUCCUAAGGCAAUACCGGUGACUGGGGCUAAGUCGUAACAAGGUAAC